GAGAAUCAAAAGGCUGUGGUUCAGACGAAAAGAAACGACUGCCUGUUCACAUGAGACUAGGACUACCAAUUAAGCCUUCUUUGCUCACAGGAUGUUCCUCGCGAUCUGACAAUGAACAGUUAAAGUGUUCAGAAAACAAGUCAAAGAAAAAAGAUAAAGUGGAACGUACAGAGAGUAGAAUGAAUUGGCAUAGAAAAAAUGAUAAACAAUAUUCAUUGAAUAACCCACAGAAGAGAUUACCUGUCCAUCAACGUCUCAGCCAGAAGAAACCUUCAGAGACCAUUGAUAGAAAGAGAUCCAGACAUUGAUGAAAACUGAACAAGAUGUCAGGAAGACGGUGUCGAGAGAAAGCAGCGGUGGACAGUUCAGAAAGAAGAGAGACAUGAGCUUGGUAUAUUCUGUGAAGAUGUACGAAGAAGGCUUAGUUUAGUUAAAUAAAUAAUGUUUAACUACAUGUAUUCUAUUAAUUCUUGUACAGUUUCUUUGUUAUUGUAACAAGUUUUAUCAUUUUCAUAAAUCUUUGACAAGAUAUUUCUUUAUAUUAAUGGAUAAUGAAUUAAGUAAAGCUCACAAUAUAAGCAUAUAGUGUUUUGUAAUACUUUAUACAAAACGUAUUUCCUGUUUACUAUAUAAAUUCUAAAAGAACUGGUACAGUCUGUCUGUUUAAUAUCUAACAGACAACUGCCAUGUAAAGAGUAAGGGAAUAAUACAACAAACUAUAAAAUAAUUAUUAUCUAACAGACAACUGCCAUGUAAGAGGGAGGGAAUAAUACAACAAACUAUAAAAUAAUUAUUAUCUAACAGACAACUGCCAUGUAAGAGGGAGGGAAUAAUACAACAAACUAUAAAAUAAUUAUUAUCUAACAGACAACUAUCAUGCAAGAGUAAGGGAAUAAUACAACAAACUAUAAAAUAAUUAUUAUCUAACAGACAACUACCAUGUAAAGAGUAAGGGAAUAAUACAACAAACUAUAAAAUAAUUAUUAUCUAACAGACAACUAUCAUGCAAGAGUAAGGGAAUAAUACAACAAACUAUAAAAUAAUUAUUACUUGUUCUACUCAAGAAGGUAGGCUUCUAUUACCACAAUUGAAAAGAAAAGAUCACAGAAUACUACAAAGAAUAUUUUGUUACUUACACUCAUUAUGAAAUAUCACCCUAAGGAAGGUAUGUGCCAGAAAAAAACACGUGUUUUUGUUGUUGUUUUUUAUUCUACGCCAAGAAAUUUUCCUUUUUUUUUCCAUUAAAUAAUAUUGUUAAAUUGAAAAACAAUCAUGGUUUUAAAAUGAUAAUUUUUAACAGUUCUGUGUUAUUCUCUACAGGGACAUAUUUGUAUAUUAAACGAAACAGUAGAUAGUUCUCUAAAUAUUAAUAGUUGUUUCAUAACUUGUUUAUCAUCAUAUUUCUCCUGUAGAUAUUGUUAAUGCUGGGAAGCUUUCUUUGUCUUACUUCAAGAAAACAUUUAAUAAAUUGUGCUGAUAGUUACCAUCUUGGGUUUUGUCACAUUGUGUUCUGGUUUUACAGCUUAAGUUAUUACAGGAUUGUAAUAGUCGGGAGAUAAUUUAAAGAAUCCUGAAAAAUGUUAGCUAAAUCGCUAAUAAAUUACUGGAAAAAAAUAUAUAAUGGAUUUAAUACAGAAACUAUGUUCUCUUUGUUACUUUGUUAUUUAAUUUAGAAAUAAUAUUUGUCACUUGUAUGAGAUUAAAACUAAAAUUAGGUCAUCUCAACAAAUAUGGACAAACUAAAGAGAGCGACAGACUGUGACAGUGAAUAAUUUUAAAUUGAUUCCUGUAGAUCAUUUGAAGAGACCGUGAAUUAUAUGCGUGUUGGUUAAACGAAUUACCCAACUUUAUAUUUGAAAAUCAUUGUCAUAUAUGUCAUCGUGAUUUAAGCAAAUUACAGUUUGUAUGCACAUUUGUGUAAUGUAGAAGUUAAAUAAAUCGUUCAAUCUUCCA
RNAcentral lists this long non-coding RNA (1953 nucleotides) under Limulus polyphemus (Atlantic horseshoe crab). Its description in RNAcentral is "uncharacterized LOC111083346". The record is from RNAcentral. Lineage: Eukaryota; Metazoa; Arthropoda; Merostomata; Xiphosura; Limulidae.